GACGAACGCUGGCGGCGUGCUUAACACAUGCAAGUCGAACGGAAAGGCCCUGCUUUUGUGGGGUGCUCGAGUGGCGAACGGGUGAGUAACACGUGAGUAACCUGCCCUUGUCUUUGGGAUAACUUCAGGAAACUGGGGCUAAUAUCGGAUAGGAGCUCCUGCUGCAUGGUGGGGGUUGGAAAGUUUCGGCGGUUGGGGAUGGACUCGCGGCUUAUCAGCUUGUUGGUGGGGUAGUGGCUUACCAAGGGUUUGACGGGUAGCCGGCCUGAGAGGGUGACCGGCCACAUUGGGACUAAGAGACGGCCCAGACUCCUACGGGAGGCAGCAGUGGGGAAUAUUGCACAAUGGGCGGAAGCCUGAGGCAGCAACGCCGCGUUCGGAAUGACGGCCUUCGGGUUGUAAACCGCUUUCGCCUGUGACGAAGCGUGAGUGACGGUAAUGGGUAAAGAAGCACCGGCUAACUACGUG
This 468-nucleotide ribosomal RNA is filed under the name uncultured bacterium. Its description in RNAcentral is "partial 16S ribosomal RNA". It matches the Rfam family "Bacterial small subunit ribosomal RNA", at positions 28 to 507 of the family's 1533-position model. The record is from RNAcentral.